UACAGAGGUGGCAAGCGUUGUUCGGAAUUACUGGGCGUAAAGGGCGCGUAGGCGGCCUUCUAAGUCAGACGUGAAAUCCCCCGGCUUAACCUGGGAACUGCGUCUGAUACUGGCAGGCUCGAAUCCGGGAGAGGGAUGUGGAAUUCCAGGUGUAGCGGUGAAAUGCGUAGAUAUCUGGAGGAACACCGGUGGCGAAGGCGGCAUCCUGGACCGGUAUUGACGCUGAGGCGCGAAAGCCAGGGGAGCAAACGGG
This 253-nucleotide ribosomal RNA is filed under the name uncultured bacterium. Its description in RNAcentral is "partial 16S ribosomal RNA". It matches the Rfam family "Bacterial small subunit ribosomal RNA", at positions 524 to 776 of the family's 1533-position model. The record is from RNAcentral.